CCUACGGGGUGCUGCAGUGAGGAAUAUUGGUCAAUGGGCGCGAGCCUGAACCAGCCAAGUAGCGUGAAGGAUGACGGCCCUACGGGUUGUAAAAUUCUUUUAUAAAGGAAUAAAGUGAGGCACGUGUGCCUUAUUGUAUGUAGUUUAUGAAUGAGGAUCGGCUAACUCCGUGCCAGCAGCCGCGGUAAUACGGAGGAUCCGAGCGUUAUCCGGAUUUAUUGGGGUUAAAGGGAGCGUAGAUGGGUUGUUAAGUCAGUUGUGAAAGUUUGCGGCUCAACCGUAAAAUUGCAAUUGAUACUGGCAGUCUUGAGUACAGUUGAGGUAGGCGGAAUUCGUGGUGUAGCGGUGAAAUGCUUAGAUAUCACGAAGAACUCCGAUUGCGAAGGCAGCUUACUAAACUGCCACUGACAUUGAUGCUCGAAAGUGUGGGUAUCAAACAGGAUUAGAUACCCGUGUAGUC
This 460-nucleotide ribosomal RNA is filed under the name uncultured bacterium. Its description in RNAcentral is "partial 16S ribosomal RNA". It matches the Rfam family "Bacterial small subunit ribosomal RNA", at positions 338 to 795 of the family's 1533-position model. The record is from RNAcentral.